UACGGAGGAUCCAAGCGUUAUCCGGAUUUAUUGGGUUUAAAGGGUGCGUAGGCGGCGCGCUAAGUCAGUGGUGAAAGACGGUGGCUCAACCAUCGCAGUGCCGUUGAUACUGGCGCGCUUGAAUGCGGAUGAGGUAGGCGGAAUGUGGCAAGUAGCGGUGAAAUGCAUAGAUAUGCCACAGAACACCGAUUGCGAAGGCAGCUUACCAAGGCGAUAUUGACGCUGAUGCACGAAAGCGUGGGGAUCGAACAGG
Molecule: ribosomal RNA, 253 nt
Filed under: uncultured prokaryote
Also listed under: 1 other name
Description: partial 16S ribosomal RNA
Rfam family: Bacterial small subunit ribosomal RNA
Source: RNAcentral